RNAcentral lists this ribosomal RNA (1126 nucleotides) under uncultured Alternaria. RNAcentral describes it as "eukaryotic LSU rRNA". The stretch from base 494 to 1126 matches the Rfam family "Eukaryotic large subunit ribosomal RNA", at positions 1 to 649 of the family's 3401-position model. The record is from RNAcentral. Lineage: Eukaryota; Fungi; Ascomycota; Dothideomycetes; Pleosporales; Pleosporaceae.
AGGGAUCAUUACACAAAUAUGAAGGCGGGCUGGAACCUCUCGGGGUUACAGCCUUGCUGAAUUAUUCACCCUUGUCUUUUGCGUACUUCCUGUUUCCUUGGUGGGUUCGCCCACCACUAGGACAAACAUAAACCUUUUGUAAUUGCAAUCAGCGUCAGUAACAAAUUAAUAAUUACAACUUUCAACAACGGAUCUCUUGGUUCUGGCAUCGAUGAAGAACGCAGCGAAAUGCGAUAAGUAGUGUGAAUUGCAGAAUUCAGUGAAUCAUCGAAUCUUUGAACGCACAUUGCGCCCUUUGGUAUUCCAAAGGGCAUGCCUGUUCGAGCGUCAUUUGUACCCUCAAGCUUUGCUUGGUGUUGGGCGUCUUGUCUCUAGCUUUGCUGGAGACUCGCCUUAAAGUAAUUGGCAGCCGGCCUACUGGUUUCGGAGCGCAGCACAAGUCGCACUCUCUAUCAGCAAAGGUCUAGCAUCCAUUAAGCCUUUUUUCGACUUUUGACCUCGGAUCAGGUAGGGAUACCCGCUGAACUUAAGCAUAUCAAUAAGCGGAGGAAAAGAAACCAACAGGGAUUGCCCUAGUAACGGCGAGUGAAGCGGCAACAGCUCAAAUUUGAAAUCUGGCUCUUUUAGAGUCCGAGUUGUAAUUUGCAGAGGGCGCUUUGGCUUUGGCAGCGGUCCAAGUUCCUUGGAACAGGACGUCACAGAGGGUGAGAAUCCCGUACGUGGUCGCUGGCUAUUGCCGUGUAAAGCCCCUUCGACGAGUCGAGUUGUUUGGGAAUGCAGCUCUAAAUGGGAGGUACAUUUCUUCUAAAGCUAAAUAUUGGCCAGAGACCGAUAGCGCACAAGUAGAGUGAUCGAAAGAUGAAAAGCACUUUGGAAAGAGAGUCAAACAGCACGUGAAAUUGUUGAAAGGGAAGCGCUUGCAGCCAGACUUGCUUACAGUUGCUCAUCCGGGUUUCUACCCGGUGCACUCUUCUGUAGGCAGGCCAGCAUCAGUUUGAGCGGUAGGAUAAAGGUCUCUGUCACGUACCUCCUUUCGGGGAGGCCUUAUAGGGGAGACGACAUACUACCAGCCUGGACUGAGGUCCGCGCAUCUGCUAGGAUGCUGGCGUAAUGGCUGUAAGCGACC